AGUGAACGCUGGCGGUAGGCCUAACACAUGCAAGUCGAACGGCAGCACAGUAAGAGCUUGCCCUUACGGGUGGCGAGUGGCGGACGGGUGAGGAAUACAUCGGAAUCUACUUUUUCGUGGGGGAUAACGUAGGGAAACUUACGCUAAUACCGCAUACGACCUACGGGUGGAAGCAGGGGAUCUUCGGACCUUGCGCGAUUGAAUGAGCCGAUGUCGGAUUAGCUAGUUGGCGGGGUAAAGGCCCACCAAGGCGACGAUCCGUAGCUGGUCUGAGAGGAUGAUCAGCCACACUGGAACUGAGACACGGUCCAGACUCCUACGGGAGGCAGCAGUGGGGAAUAUUGGACAAUGGGCGCAAGCCUGAUCCAGCCAUACCGCGUGGGUGAAGAAGGCCUUCGGGUUGUAAAGCCCUUUUGUUGGGAAAGAAAAGCAGCAGGUUAAUACCCCGCUGUUCUGACGGUACCCAAAGAAUAAGCACCGGCUAACUUCGUG
RNAcentral lists this ribosomal RNA (492 nucleotides) under uncultured bacterium. RNAcentral's name for it is "partial 16S ribosomal RNA". It matches the Rfam family "Bacterial small subunit ribosomal RNA", at positions 29 to 507 of the family's 1533-position model. The record is from RNAcentral.